This 71-nucleotide transfer RNA is filed under the name Saprospiraceae bacterium. Its description in RNAcentral is "tRNA-Cys". It matches the Rfam family "tRNA". From Rfam's summary of the family: Transfer RNA (tRNA) molecules are approximately 80 nucleotides in length. Lineage: Bacteria; Pseudomonadati; Bacteroidota; Saprospiria; Saprospirales; Saprospiraceae. The record is from RNAcentral.
GGUCGCGUGGCCGAGUGGCUAGGCAGUGGAUUGCAAAUCCAUGUACGGCGGUUCGAAUCCGUCCGCGACCU